CAGUCGCCACGGGAAUACAGAGGAUGCAAGCGUUAUCCGGAAUGAUUGGGCGUAAAGCGUCUGUAGGUGGCUUUUCAAGUCCGCCGUCAAAUCCCAGGGCUCAACCCUGGACAGGCGGUGGAAACUACCAAGCUGGAGUACGGUAGGGGCAGAGGGAAUUUCCGGUGGAGCGAUGAAAUGCGUUGAGAUCGGAAAGAACACCAACGGUGAAAGCACUCUGCUGGGCCGACACUGACACUGGGAGACGAAAGUUAGGGGAGAAAAUGGGAUUAGAUACCCGGGUAGUCCCUGUCUCUUAUAC
Molecule: ribosomal RNA, 301 nt
Filed under: uncultured bacterium
Lineage: Bacteria
Description: partial 16S ribosomal RNA
Rfam family: Bacterial small subunit ribosomal RNA
Source: RNAcentral